ACAAGCAGCGGAGCGUGUGGUUAAUUCGAUGCUACACGAAGAACCUUACCCGGGUUUGACAUGCAAGUGGUAGUGAUCCGAAAGGUGAACGACCCGCAAGGGAGCUUGCACAGGUGUUGCAUGGCUGUCGCCAGCUCGUGUCGUGAGAUGUUCGGUUAAGUCCGCUAACGAGCGCAACCCUCGCUGUAUGUUACAUGUGUCAUACAGGACCGCCGGUAUCAAGCCGGAGGAAGGUGGGGAUGACGUCAAGUCCGCAUGGCCUUUAUGUCCGGGGCUACACACACGCUACAAUGGUCGGUACAAUGGGUUGCUAAGCCGCGAGGUGGAGCCAAUCCCCCAAAGCCGGCCUCAGUUCAGAUUGCAGGCUGCAACUCGCCUGCACGAAGCUGGAGUUGCUAGUAAACGCGCGUCAGCUAUAGUGCGUUGAAUACGUUCUCGGGCCUU
This 444-nucleotide ribosomal RNA is filed under the name uncultured Anaerolineaceae bacterium. Its description in RNAcentral is "bacterial SSU rRNA". It matches the Rfam family "Bacterial small subunit ribosomal RNA", at positions 925 to 1382 of the family's 1533-position model. Lineage: Bacteria; Bacillati; Chloroflexota; Anaerolineae; Anaerolineales; Anaerolineaceae. The record is from RNAcentral.